This 402-nucleotide ribosomal RNA is filed under the name uncultured bacterium. RNAcentral describes it as "bacterial SSU rRNA". It matches the Rfam family "Bacterial small subunit ribosomal RNA", at positions 356 to 773 of the family's 1533-position model. The record is from RNAcentral.
GGGGAAUAUUGGGCAAUGGACGCAAGUCUGACCCAGCAACGCCGCGUGAAGGAAGAAGGCUUUCGGGUUGUAAACUUCUUUUAAGAGGGAAGAGUAGAAGACGGUACCUCUUGAAUAAGCCACGGCUAACUACGUGCCAGCAGCCGCGGUAAUACGUAGGUGGCAAGCGUUGUCCGGAUUUACUGGGUGUAAAGGGCGUGUAGCCGGGUCGGCAAGUCAGAUGUGAAAUCUGGUGGCUUAACCACCAAACUGCAUUUGAAACUGCUGAUCUUGAGUAUCGGAGAGGUAAUCGGAAUUCCUAGUGUAGCGGUGAAAUGCGUAGAUAUUAGGAAGAACACCAGUGGCGAAGGCGGAUUACUGGACGACAACUGACGGUGAGGCGCGAAAGCGUGGGGAGCAAAC